GACGAACGCUGGCGGCGUGCCUAACACAUGCAAGUCAACUUGACUGAAGGAGCAAUCUGACAGUAGAGUGGCGCAAGGGUGCGUAACGCGUAAGUAACUUGCCCAAGGUAAGGAAUAACGUCGAGAAAUCGGCGCUAAUACCUCAUAAUGCAGCGGAUCCGCAUGGAUAUGUUGUUAAAGGUUUACCGCCUUGGGAUAGGCUUGCGUCUGAUUAGCUAGUUGGUGUGGUAAACGGCACACCAAGGCUACGAUCAGUAACUGGUCUGAGAGGAUGAUCAGUCACACUGGAACUGAGACACGGUCCAGACUCCUACGGGAGGCAGCAGUGAGGAAUAUUGGGCAAUGCUCGAAAGAGUGACCCAGCAACGCCGCGUGGAGGAUGAAGGUAUUCUAUAUCGUAAACUCCUAGUGAGAGCAGACGAAAGACAGAUUAUUAAUACUGGAUGACUGUAUGCUCAGAGGAAGCCCCGGCUAACUACG
Molecule: ribosomal RNA, 480 nt
Filed under: uncultured bacterium
Lineage: Bacteria
Description: bacterial SSU rRNA
Rfam family: Bacterial small subunit ribosomal RNA
Source: RNAcentral